This 254-nucleotide ribosomal RNA is filed under the name uncultured bacterium. Its description in RNAcentral is "partial 16S ribosomal RNA". It matches the Rfam family "Bacterial small subunit ribosomal RNA", at positions 526 to 779 of the family's 1533-position model. The record is from RNAcentral.
CGGAGGGUGCAAGCAUUAAUCGGAUUUAUUGGGCGUAAAGGGCGCGUAGGCUGGUUUGUAAGUCAGAUGUGAAAUCCCGGGGCUCAACCUCGGAACAGCAUUUGAAACUACAUACCUAGAGGGUAGAAGGAGAAAACGGAAUUCCACAAGUAGCGGUGAAAUGCGUAGAUAUGUGGAAGAACACCGGUGGCGAAGGCGGUUUUCUAUUUUACACCUGACGCUGAGGCGCGAAAGCAAGGGGAUCAAACAGGAUU